This 2465-nucleotide long non-coding RNA is filed under the name Prunus dulcis (almond). RNAcentral's name for it is "sRNA ncRNA". The record is from RNAcentral. Lineage: Eukaryota; Viridiplantae; Streptophyta; Magnoliopsida; Rosales; Rosaceae.
CGCACCUCUCUCUCUCUCUCUCUCUCUCCCGACCUCAGCUCCUCUCUCUAUCGAUUCGUCUCUCCCGACCUUAGUCGCUGACAGCGUCGGCAUCGCUUCAUCUAUCUCACUCUCUCAUCUGGUAUCAUCUCUUCUCUCGAUCUCAUGUCUCUGUCUGUCAACCUCAUCCUCUCUCUCCCUCUCUGGAGUCGACCUAACCCAGAUCACCCCUCAGUAACCUAACCCUCUCAGAGUCUCUCUUUCGACUCGUCUCUAUCGCGCUCGCUUUCUCUCACUCUUAGUCACUUCUGUAAGUCACUUAGAGUCCAGAGACUUGUUCUCCCUCUCCAAACCUAACCAAACAUCAUCCACUUUCAUUGGUUUUUGGAGAGAAUCCUUGCAAAUUGUGGAGGGCUCUGGUUCAUUGUAAGGUAAAUUUGUAUGUAUUUGGUUUGAAUUCGUAGUUGUUUUCAUGUUCCCCAAUUUAGUAGAUUAUUAGGGUUUCGACAUUUUUGUAUUCUGUUGAAAUUAAAUCUAAUUUUUCUUAAUUUUGCAGUUGUUAUGCAUAGUCUCUGCGGGUUUCAAUUAAUGGGCGAAAUUGAAGGUAUAAAUGUUCCUCUGUCUCAAUCUCUGUUUGUUGCUUGCUUCUUCUUGUUUCAAGCUUUGGUUUUGUUUGGUCCUACUGGGUUAGGAUCUGAUAAGAUGAUAUGAAUGAUAACUUUUCUCUGCUUUAAUGUCUGCGUGCUUGAAGAUAGGAUUUGUAUCUUAAAUAUUUCUUUUUCCCUAUGGUAUGUAAUUAAUUACAUUUUUGUCACCCAUGUUCUCACGAGGGAAAUAUUUGCCUUCUGUUAUUCUCUUGGAUGUUUUACAUCUGCAGUGCAGUUCUUGUAGCAAUAAUCAUGUAGGUACAGGGUAGAUAGAAUUGUAAAUUUUAUGUAGCUACAGGAUAGAUGUGCGACAUAUAAUUAACAGCCUCAGUUACUAGUUUGUAACAUUUUGAUGAACAUGGAGGAAUUAGAUGCUUCCAGAUUUGUAGUGAUAAGGCAUUACCUUUCUUCUUUUCAUCAUAGGUACUUAAAAUUCAUUACCAUGGCCUCCCUUUUUUUAGUUUGUUACGUUAGGGUGUGGGUCUCCAAUUGGCGGAAGGUUUAAGAUUGACAUCAACUGUCAAGAAUCAUUGUACAUUUAAGAUUACAAAUUUCCAUGUAGAAUUCGAAAGCCAAGAGUUAAAGUUUUGAGAAUUUGAUAAUAGAGAAGUAUAAAUUGUGUAGUUAGAUUUGGUUUAGUUCCGUCGUUUAAUAUAAUUUGAUCACCCAAAUGCUGCUGUCAUUUACUUCAAGAGGCCAAGAAAUGGUACUGUCAUUUACAUUGAAUCCAAUGUAGACCAUGAAGUAUGUAGCCAUUGGUUUUGUUGGAACUUGAUAGUAUUGCCGAAAUAUUGAAGGAGGAUUAUCCCUCUCUCUUUUAGCUCUCGGCUGGUUUCAUUUGGAAGAGGAGGAUGGCAUAUUAUUCUUCCUCUCUCUUCUACAAUGAAGUAUUAAUUUUAACACGUUUUCCAUAUUUAUCAUUGAGCAUUUAAAUGUCAUUUUGGUUAAAGUACUUUGCUUCAAAGCUCAAAGACAAAGCAUUUGUGCUCUUAUUUCAAUUUUUAUUCAUGCAUUUGUUUGGUCAAGAAUGAUUAUAACAUGCUAUUGUUGGCUCUCUUGCUAUUAUUAUGUUUCUAUUUUAACCUCCAAGUGGAUGUAUUAAUAUGUUCCACUGUAAUAGUUAUGAUUUCAUAUUAAUUUUGAAGCUAAUAAAAUUGGCUCUGAGGAAAAGAGAUUGUUUGGAGUCGUAUAUUGUGCAACAAUUGAGUGCAAAUUUUCUCUGCACUAAUUUCAGCCAAAAAGAGCAGCUAAUUAUAUUUGGUAAUGUAUAUGUGCACGAUAUGAGAUGCCAUUGGUUGAGGAUAUGUCAUUUAUUUUGUUUUUUCCUGAUAUUUUCAUUUUUUUUUUCUCCAAGUCCAUUUUGAUAGAUGUACACACAUGUCCAGGAAACUUAAACAUCAUAGUUAAGCUUUAAUGUCAUCAUAAAAUUAAUGCAUCUCUUUUGGUUGCCUAAGUACCCUAAACUUGAAGAGUUUAUGAUUACUAGCUGGUUAUCUAUUGUGGUAGAUUCUCUCCCUUUCCUCUCUCUAAUGCCAAUGCUCUUAUUUGGCAGAUAAUGUGAUUUAAGGAGGCUCAAAAAAGGCAGACGUAGGCUCAUAAAGGGUGUUUUAUUUGGAGCUUCCAAGUCAUUGAUGUUAGAUACGUUCAAUUUUAAGUACAAGUUUUUUUAUUCAAUUAUUGUAUCUAAUCACUAUAUUAAGUGGAAAUGAAAUUUCAGUUUGUUAUUUAAUAUAUAUAUUUUGAAAAGGUCUGAAAUACCAUACUAUAUUAAGUGGAAAUGAAAUUUCAGUGUGUAAUUUUUUUUUUUUUUAUAAUUUAAACAAUUGGCAUUGAGCACGG